Cinara cedri is the source of this 1651-nucleotide non-coding RNA. NCBI's taxonomy places the organism in Eukaryota, Metazoa, Arthropoda, Insecta, Hemiptera, Aphididae. The record is from the annotation of a GenBank genome assembly.
UUCAACAAUCAGCAAAUAGGCACCUUCGUUAAAUAGUAUUACCGAUUAAAGAAGACGGCAGUAUAUACUUAUCACGUGUCCUGAAACAACAAUAUUUUCAAAGCAUAACACCUAUACUAAUACUAUCCGUUCAUCUAAUCACGUUGCAGUAAACAGUAACGUUCAGCUCACUUCGAAAAACCCGAGUAGAACCCUACUGCAAUUUUAACAUGGUUCGCAACACUCGGCUCGGUUUUACAGUUGGAUUAAGUAAGUUUAUGAAGCACAACGAUCCGCAAUAUUAUAUUACAUUGAUAUCAGCAUCUUUAAUAUAGAUCGGACUGUGUUUAAAGCUAACUGCAUGGCCUAAAAUACUGUGUCCACAGACACACUUUGUGUCCCCUGAAUUACAAAUGUAUAUCAAGAAUUUUAUAACGUGUUUUUUGUUUUAAUUGUAGAAACAACAAACAUGUUGGAAUUUGAACAUAAAUGUAUUAUUAUUUUUUAUUUCAGUAUAAAUAUCAUAUAUUUUUAACCGCGAUCACGGUUAUAAAUAUUAUAUAUCCACGAACUUUUAGUUGUAUUUAUUUUGUGUGGCAUAAAUGCAAUUUAGCUCACAAGCUUUUUUUUUAAUAUUUUUUUCCAAACUAUAUAUUUUUACAUGCUUAAUUUGAUUGUACUUUCAAAAAAAGUCGCUCAAAUUUAAUUUGGAAGUUAUGAUCAAAAAAAUUAAAAAUGCUCGAUAUUUCUAAAAAUCGUGUUUUUGAGUUUAAAGUACUAAUUAAUAGUUUAAAAAUUUUAGGAAUGGUACCAAUUAUAUGUUUAACAUUUAGGUGAAACCAGAAUUCACCUAUCUUACUUACUUUUUAUGUUAUUAUUAAUAAACCACGUAAAACCUAAUUAUAAUAUACAAUCAAAAUUUACAAAUUAUACACAUUUCAAGAUUGCGGGAAAAAAUGUGUAGACAUUUUAAAACAAAUUGUAUUAAUUAUGUCCAGAUUUUUCAGACGCCAACGACAUGGCAGCAGCCCCUCUCUUAGACCUUCCCUCCAAUAAAGCCCCCAUCAUAAAUCUUAAUAUUUUAGUAAAAAAACACAAGAAUAUUCGAUCUAUAAUAUUUAGAUGCUUGGUAAUUUUAUUUAUAUUUAUAUUUUUGAUGAAAUCAAGUAUAAAUAGUUACAUUUUAGUUCAUAAAUUAUAAAAUAAAAUUAUCUCUGUACUUCACUUGCAAUAUGUUAGAUUUCUACAGUUCACUAUGAAACGCCAAUUUGCUACACGAGAAAUUAAUUAUUUUAAUCCGUUCAACAGUAUUAGUAAUAUUGCUGAGCAUAACCACAAUGACAGACGCUGUUUGCGAAUGGCUCAGGUGUCACUUUUACUUUGGAUAUUCUAUGCCUAUUGACUGGUGCAAAAUACUCGGACCAAAAUGGUGGCGAGAAAAUGGGCGUCCAUGCUUUAAUAGCCCAUAUUUAUAUCAAGAAAGUUGUUGCAAUGACUAAAUCAAUAACAUCGAUUGUUUUAUAUUUUUAUAUAUGUAUUAAAAUUGUGUAUGCAUUAUUUUAUCGUACAGAAAAACAUUAGGUAUAACAUUAUAUUUUAUAAUUAUCAUCGGUGGCUUUAUUAAAAAAAAAAAAAAUUGUUUCCUUAAUAAAAUAAUAUAUCUACUCGCUCG